Molecule: ribosomal RNA, 465 nt
Filed under: uncultured ammonia-oxidizing bacterium
Lineage: Bacteria
Description: bacterial SSU rRNA
Rfam family: Bacterial small subunit ribosomal RNA
Source: RNAcentral
GGAGGAAAGUAGGGGAUCGCAAGACCUUGCGCUUUUUGAGCGGCCGAUGCCUGAUUAGCUAGUUGGUAAGGUAAUGGCUUACCAAGGCAACGAUCAGUAGCUGGUCUGAGAGGACGACCAGCCACACUGGGACUGAGACACGGCCCAGACUCCUACGGGAGGCAGCAGUGGGGAAUUUUGGACAAUGGGCGAAAGCCUGAUCCAGCCAUGCCGCGUGAGUGAAGAAGGCCUUCGGGUUGUAAAGCUCUUUCGGUCGGGAAGAAAUAGUUGUGGCUAAUAUCCACAAUGAAUGACGGUACCGACAUAAGAAGCACCGGCUAACUACGUGCCAGCAGCCGCGGUAAUACGUAGGGUGCAAGCGUUAAUCGGAAUUAUUGGGCGUAAAGGGUGCGCAGGCGGUUGUAUAAGUCAGAUAUGAAAUCCCUGGGCUUAACCUAGGAAUUGCGUUUGAAACUACAAAGCUAG